AUAGCCACAUCAAUGUGUUCUUAUCAGUUUAUGAUAUGUCCUUUAUUUGAGGACUGUAUAUUAAAUUGAUUUUUGAAACGGGGCUGGAAUAGGCGCUUGCUCUGUCCACCCCAUGCAUUGACCUGGUAUUGCAGUGCCUCCAGGACUUGUUUAAAAAAA
This 159-nucleotide small nuclear RNA is filed under the name Chelonoidis abingdonii (Abingdon island giant tortoise). RNAcentral's name for it is "U2 spliceosomal RNA (ENSCABG00000008287.1)". It matches the Rfam family "U2 spliceosomal RNA". From Rfam's summary of the family: U2 is a small nuclear RNA (snRNA) component of the spliceosome (involved in pre-mRNA splicing). The record is from Rfam by way of RNAcentral. Lineage: Eukaryota; Metazoa; Chordata; Testudines; Testudinidae.